Molecule: ribosomal RNA, 314 nt
Filed under: uncultured bacterium
Lineage: Bacteria
Description: bacterial SSU rRNA
Rfam family: Bacterial small subunit ribosomal RNA
Source: RNAcentral
CCUAACACAUGCAAGUCUAACGGUAACAGGAAGAAGCUUGCUUCUUUGCUGACGAGUGGCGGACGGGUGAGUGAUGUCUGGGAAACUGCCUGAUGGAGGGGGAUAACUACUGGAAACGGUAGCUAAUACCGCAUAACGUCGCAAGACCAAAGAGGGGGACCUUCGGGCCUCUUGCCAUCGGAUGUGCCCAGAUGGGAUUAGCUAGUAGGUGGGGUAACGGCUCACCUAGGCGACGAUCCCUAGCUGGUCUGAGAGGAUGACCAGCCACACUGGAACUGAGACACGGUCCAGACUCCUACGGGAGGCAGCAGUGG